CUGACGAGUGGCGGACGGGUGAGUAAUGCUUGGGAAUCUGGCUUAUGGAGGGGGAUAACUACGGGAAACUGUAGCUAAUACCGCGUAGUGUCGAGAGACGAAAGUGCGGGACCGCAAGGCCGCAUGCCAUGGGAUGAGCCCAAGUGGGAUUAGGUAGUUGGUGGGGUAAAGGCCUACCAAGCCUGCGAUCUCUAGCUGGUCUGAGAGGAUGGCCAGCCACACUGGAACUGAGACACGGUCCAGACUCCUACGGGAGGCAGCAGUGGGGAAUAUUGCGCAAUGGGGGGAACCCUGACGCAGCCAUGCCGCGUGAAUGAAGAAGGCCUUCGGGUUGUAAAGUUCUUUCGGUAUUGAGGAAGGAGUGUAUGUUAAUAGCAUACAUUAUUGACGUUAAAUACAGAAGAAGCACCGGCUAACUCCGUGCCAGCAGCCGCGGUAAUACGGAGGGUGCGAGCGUUAAUCGGAAUAACUGGGCGUAAAGGGCACGCAGGCGGUUAUUUAAGUGAGGUGUGAAAGCCCCGGGCUUAACCUGGGAAUUGCAUUUCAGACUGGGUAACUAGAGUACUUUAGGGAGGGGUAGAAUUCCACGUGUAGCGGU
This 598-nucleotide ribosomal RNA is filed under the name Haemophilus haemolyticus. Its description in RNAcentral is "bacterial SSU rRNA". It matches the Rfam family "Bacterial small subunit ribosomal RNA", at positions 88 to 682 of the family's 1533-position model. Lineage: Bacteria; Pseudomonadati; Pseudomonadota; Gammaproteobacteria; Pasteurellales; Pasteurellaceae. The record is from RNAcentral.